RNAcentral lists this ribosomal RNA (440 nucleotides) under uncultured bacterium. RNAcentral describes it as "partial 16S ribosomal RNA". It matches the Rfam family "Bacterial small subunit ribosomal RNA", at positions 338 to 795 of the family's 1533-position model. The record is from RNAcentral.
CCUACGGGCGGCAGCAGUGGGGGAUAUUGCACAAUGGGGGGAACCCUGAUGCAGCGACGCCGCGUGGGUGAAGAAGCGCCUCGGCGCGUACAGCCCUGUCAGCAGGGAAGAAAAUGACGGUACCUGAAGAAGAAGCCCCGGCUAACUACGUGCCAGCAGCCGCGGUAAUACGUAGGGGGCAAGCGUUAUCCGGAUUUACUGGGUGGAAAGGGGGCGCAGACGGCGAUGCAAGCCAGGAGUGAAAGCCCGGGGCCCAACCCCGGGACUGCUCUUGGAACUGCGUGGCUGGAGUGCAGGAGGGACAGGCGGAAUUCCUGGUGUAGCGGUGAAAUGCGUAGAUAUCAGGAGGAACACCGGUGGCGAAGGCGGCCUGCUGGACUGCAACUGACGUUGAGGCCCGAAAGCGUGGGGAGCAAACAGGAUUAGAUACCCUUGUAGUC